AUAAACUGUUUAAGACGCACGCACGUGUUUACUUCUAGCAUUAUUUUGUAUUUCGAAGCAGAAUUUAACGUGAAACAUAAGUAAGAAAGAUGGUGAAGUUGCAAAAAUCUUUAACAAAACCUUUAGAUAUAAUCGAGAAAAGGAAAACAAAGUUACCGGCACCACCACUUGCAGGCAUCUCAAAGUCAAACAAAAAAGAAAAAGCAGUUACUGUACUGGAAAAGUCAGUGAANUCCAAAAAAGAAAAGUUAGCAAAAGCAAUUAUUAAAGAUAUCGAAGUUGUGGCGCCUUUGAAAAAAGAAAAGAAAGACAAAUUAAAUAAAGUUGAAAAGAAGAUUCCGAGCGAACCAAACAAGAAAAAAUCCAAGACGUCUGGAAAGAAGGUGGAGCAGACUCCGAAACGUCCUUUGGUACUAGCACCGGCAGAAUCACCUCAAGUUCCAAAAUUAGUUGCGGCCAAGUUGGAAAAGAAGUCGAAGGAUAAAAAGCCCAAAGUUCAUAAGAAAAAGAACAAAAAAGUUAACCCAACUAACGUUGANCCAGCAACCCCUUUAACAAAUUUGCAAAAGAAAAAAGCUGCCAAACGAGCCUACAAAAAAGAACAAAUUAAGAAGAGGCGCGAAAAUAAAUCGGCAAAAACCAAAAAAGCUCCAACAAAACGUCUAUUUAAGGCACCACCAUUUGAUGAGGAAAAAUUCAAUGCAAUUGUAUGUGCAGAUAAUGUGAAGAAAAUAGCAAAGGGCCUGAAAAAGCAGGUAGAAAAGGAAGUCUCUGAAAAGAAAACCGCCAUUUUUAGUGAUUUUCAAUACUUCCUAAAUGUCUCCUGCUUUAAAAUACCUAAUGUUCCAAAACGUAUUGUAAAGCUCAAUUUAAAACAUUCGUUGGUUGAUAAAGAUGAUGAUGUUGCUAUCAUUGUGUCUGAUUUACAACGUGGAUCUAAAGUUGAUUAUGAACCAACAAUUCAACAUUAUGAAGAUAUCUUCCGCGAAGCCGGUAUUGAAGGACUGACAAUCAUACCAUUUAAUAAACUUAGGAAUGAAUGCAAUACUUUUGAAACUGUGCGCAAAUUUGGAAAUACCUAUGAUUAUUUUCUAUGCGAUGGGCGUUUAGUAGGACACGCAUCUGGUUUUUGCGGAAAGGUCUUCCAAAAACCGCGUACAACAUUCCAUUCAGUACGUAUGGAUAAUCAAAAGAAUUUAAAACGAGAAAUUGAGAAAUCGUUAUGUCGUACUGCUUACAAACAACUGGACAAGGGUGAUCUCAUAUCAAUACCAAUCGGUACUCACAAGUUCACAGAAGAUCAGUUGGUUGAGAAUAUUAUGCAUGUAANGGAGCAGUUGAAGAAUACUUACCCCGGUGGCUUGGCCAAUAUCCGUGGCAUAUAUCUUAAAAUAAGUAUCGCUGGUACGUCAUCAUUGCCACUAUUCCUCAGUGUUGCAGAGCCACCUGCGGAGAUNCCUUAUGUUGUCGGACCACGUGAGCAGCGUAUGCUGAAAUUGAAACGUGAAGCUAACGAGGUUUUGUCUAAAUUCAAUAUGACAAAAGAAGGAAACUUGUUGAAACUAUCAAAAACUGAUGUGGAACGCAAACGUAAAUUGAAGGAAAUGCGAGCAGUAGUAAACGCUGAAACAAAUACGACUGAAGAAAAUAAGCAUGAUAAGGCCAAUGGCAAACAAGCUGUUGUGCCAGCAAAGAAGGCUAAAACUGAGAAAAGUGUUAUAGCUUCUGAUAAAAGUGAAAAAAGUAAGUCUAAAGAUGAAGAACCUAAGGUAGAAGAGCAAGGCGACGAAGACGAGGAUGAUGGCGAAGCAGAGCAGGAAGAUGAGGAUGAGAAUGAUAGUGGUGAAGAUGAGGAUGUGGAGGAAGAUGAUAGUGGGGAAGAGGAAGAUGGCGAUGAUGAUGAUGACGACGACGAUGACGGUGAUGAUGAUGAAGAUGAUGCUGAUGAAGAUGAUGCAGAAGAUGAAGACGGCGCGGGGGAUGAUGAUAAGGAUGAGGAUGAUAGUGAAGAAGAAGAUGAUGAAUAAUUACAAUAGUAAUUUUACCAUAAGUCUGGUUUUUUUAAUUUAAAUCUUUUAUUAUAUAAAAAACACAUUGAAUGCAUUGGAUUAUAAGAAUAAAAUAUCUUGAAAUACUUGCGAUAUUUAAUCUUUAUGCAGUAGAUUUUACGACCAACUAAUUAUUAAUAUUUUUAUGCAUCUUAAAUGGGUGUUGGUUCUGAAUAACACUAGCUAUAACUUUUUUUAUUAAGUAAAUCAUUAUUUUAUAAGCUGUGUCACCCUAUUAUGAAUGUUCAGAGACAAAUGACACAUUGAGAAUUAUUGAAACGUCAAAUUGGACACACAGUACGGCAGCAUGAAUUUUUGUUCUGAGUGUGUUUUUCUUUUAUCCCGUCUCGUCGAUUUCAUUUUAAACAAAUACUUAAGGAAAUAAUAAAUAUUUGCAACUGAGGUAGAAAUUAUUAUCGUAACGGAUUAUAAUUGUGUCUAUAGUUCUUUCGNAAAGGCAAAAUAUGUAAAACAUCAUAAAUUAACUGUGAUUUGCAUGCAAUUUCGUUGGCGUGAAAAAAAAAAUUAACGUAACAAUAGUUCUUGCUUUGACUUCAAGGCGAUGUGUUAUUUAUUGCAUUCGUAAAGGAAUUGUACCGCGGCCAUUUGAUAGGGGCUCUAGUGAUCGCGCCGCGAUAUGUGGAUCUGUGCCCACUGUGUUUACAUAAAUCUGAUUCCAUUAAAAUUCAAUUGGUGCAAAUAGUGU
Molecule: unclassified non-coding RNA, 2754 nt
Filed under: Bactrocera latifrons
Lineage: Eukaryota; Metazoa; Arthropoda; Insecta; Diptera; Tephritidae
Description: ribosomal L1 domain-containing protein CG13096, transcript variant X1
Source: RNAcentral